UACGGGGGGUGUAAGCGUUGUUCGGAAUUACUGGGCGUAAAGGGCGUGCAGGCGGCCGCCGCAAGUUGCAUGUGAAAUCCCUGGGCUUAACCCAGGACGUGCGUGCAAGACUGCGGGGCUUGAAUACGGGAGAGGAUCGUGGAAUUCCUGGUGUAGAGGUGAAAUUCGUAGAGAUCAGGAGGAACACUCGUGGCGAAGGCGACGAUCUGGACCGAUAUUGACGCUGAGACGCGAAAGCGUGGGUAGCAAA
Molecule: ribosomal RNA, 250 nt
Filed under: uncultured prokaryote
Description: partial 16S ribosomal RNA
Rfam family: Bacterial small subunit ribosomal RNA
Source: RNAcentral